Molecule: ribosomal RNA, 465 nt
Filed under: uncultured bacterium
Lineage: Bacteria
Description: partial 16S ribosomal RNA
Rfam family: Bacterial small subunit ribosomal RNA
Source: RNAcentral
CCUACGGGUGGCUGCAGUAGGGAAUCUUCCACAAUGGGCGAAAGCCUGAUGGAGCAACGCCGCGUGGGUGAAGAAGGGCUUCGGCUCGUAAAGCCCUGUUGGUAGAGAAGAAAGAGCGUGAGAGUAACUGUUCACGUUUCGACGGUAUCUACCCAGAAAGUCACGGCUAACUACGUGCCAGCAGCCGCGGUAAUACGUAGGUGGCAAGCGUUAUCCGGAUUUAUUGGGCGUAAAGGGAAUGCAGGCGGUCUAUUAAGUCUGAUGUGAAAGCCUUCGGCUUAACCGGAGUAGUGCAUUGGAAACUGGGGAACUUGAGUGCAGAAGAGGAGAGUGGAACUCCAUGUGUAGCGGUGAAAUGCGUAGAUAUAUGGAAGAACACCAGUGGCGAAAGCGGCUCUCUGGUCUGCAACUGACGCUGAGGUUCGAAAGCAUGGGUAGCGAACAGGAUUAGAUACCCCUGUGGUC